This 759-nucleotide long non-coding RNA is filed under the name Homo sapiens (human). RNAcentral's name for it is "long intergenic non-protein coding RNA 3156". Lineage: Eukaryota; Metazoa; Chordata; Mammalia; Primates; Hominidae. The record is from RNAcentral.
GAAAUAAUGCCAACUUAAACCUUCCCUCCCCUAGGGAGCUCUCCCUAACAAUCUGGGCUGGAAAGAGUGUGUUCCUUUAGGAAACAAAGCAUGUAUUACCCAUUGAGAAUCCAUUAUUACUUUGAAUUUUUAGUUUUGUUUUCAUGUGUUGCUUUAUCUUCUUAAUUAAAUUAUCUCUUCUAGGGAGAAGACAUCUUACUCUUAUUGGAUCAUGCACAGUGCCUGAAGCAUUCUGUUGCAUGUAGAAGUCAGUAAAUUGCAGAUGUAAGAUUCAAAACCAGACUUCACAUCUACCGACUUCAGUGACCCUGAAAUUUGUUCACAGAGAGCAUUUAACAUAACUGUCUUCAUCAUCUCCUUCUCUACAUUAAAAAUUAUGGAGGCCUUACAAACUGGUAGAAGAUGCAUAACAGAAGAGCUUAUGAAGUUAAAGAUGACAGCAUAGCAGCACUGGUGAGAUCCUUUUAGACAUAACAUGGUAGGAAGGACUGUUUGACAAAGUGAAUGCCUGUCUUUCAGAAUAUACAGGGAGGUGUGAUGUACCCAUUAUCACAAGCAGAUGGAAUCCCUAUAGAGUCGGAUCUCAUCUACAUAUCACCUAUUAUAUGUAGUUAUUGAUGGAUAAAUACUUCAACAACUAAAGGCAGAAAGAGAGCAGUUCACAAAGACGUUAUUGGUGAUUCAAUCUUGAGUCAUGAAAAGUCAACCUUGAGCCACAAAAAGUCAACCUUGAGCCAAGCAGAUUGGAGAGUCAUACAU